UACCUGCAGCUCGAGUGGUAACCGCUAUUAUUGGGCCUAAAGCGUCCGUAGCCGGUUUGGUAAAUAUCUGGGUAAAUCGUGAGGCUUAACUUCACGAAUUUCGGAUAGACUGCCAGACUUGGGAUCGGGGGAGGUCAGAGGUACUCCAGGGGUAGCGGUGAAAUGUUGUAAUCCUUGGAGGACCACCGGUAGCGAAGGCGUCUGACUAGAACGAGUCCGACGGUGAGGGACGAAGCCCUGGGGGCGCAAACCGGAUUAGAUACCCGGGUAGUCCAGGGUGUAAACGAUGUGGGCUUUGUAUUGGAGGUCCCACGUGGGCGUCCAGUGCAGAAGAGAAGUUGUUAAGCCCACCGCCUGGGAAGUACGGUCGCAAGGCUAGAAACUUAAAGGAAUUGGCGGGGGAGCACAGCAACGGGAGGAGCGUGCGGUUU
Molecule: ribosomal RNA, 431 nt
Filed under: uncultured archaeon
Lineage: Archaea
Description: bacterial SSU rRNA
Rfam family: Archaeal small subunit ribosomal RNA
Source: RNAcentral